Molecule: ribosomal RNA, 450 nt
Filed under: uncultured bacterium
Lineage: Bacteria
Description: partial 16S ribosomal RNA
Rfam family: Bacterial small subunit ribosomal RNA
Source: RNAcentral
GUGGGGAAUCUUCCGCAAUGGACGAAAGUCUGACGGAGCGACGCCGCGUGAGUGAAGAAGGCCUUCGGGUCGUAAAGCUCUGUCAUCAGGGACGAACGGCCGGUGGAGUGGAAAGCCACCGGAUUGACGGUACCUGAGAAGGAAGCCACGGCUAACUACGUGCCAGCAGCCGCGGUAAUACGUAGGUGGCAAGCGUUGUCCGGAAUUAUUGGGCGUAAAGCGCGCGCAGGUGGGAUCUUAAGUCCAUUUUGAAAGUUCGGAGCUCAACUCCGUGAUGGGAGGGAAACUGGGAUUCUUGAGUACCGGAGAGGAAAGCGGAAUUCCCCGUGUAGCGGUGAAAUGCGUAGAUAUGGGGAGGAACACCAGUGGCGAAGGCGGCUUUCUGGACGGUGUCUGACACUGAGGCGCGAAAGCCAGGGGAGCGAACGGGAUUAGAUACCCGUGUAGUCC